AUGAGGCUUCCUCGUGAUGUUUCGAAAUUACCUGGGUCCUACGACCUCGAGAGAGAGGUUAGUCAAUAAUACUUUUGUAUUUGUAUAGGAAAUUUAUUGUAGACGAAUAGAUUGCUAUAUUGUUACAUGUGUACAGAACUCUUUUGAGGUUUCUCUGAAUAGGAAAAAAAACGUGAAACAGCCACGUGAUUUCCUAAUCGAAUAACAAAAUUAUAUCAGUGGUAAGAAAAUUUUAACUGGUUCAUCGAGACGAAAACGUGAUUCAAAUUAAACUAUGGCACGUGAUAGUGAUGAAAACGAUUCAGCUUAGCACGUGUUCUCGUGAGUGAAAGCCAUGGAUUGAUCCGUGGCCAGCAAAUUUAAUUUAUGUUAGUGUAUCAGUGUAGUUUUUAACCAGUACAAAGUUCGCAAGAAAUUUUUUUUAAAUUUCAUUGAAUUAUUGAAAUGUUUGGAUGUGAAUAUCAUGAGCAUUGAUGAAUAUAAAUUUUAUGCAACGUUUUAUGACAUAAUACGAGCAAAAGACUGGGUAGAUGAUACGAGAAAAACGUAUGGGUUACUAUACAUAGGAUUGAAAACCACAAAGCAUCUAUUCACAGUUUGUGUUCACGCGAUGCUCGCGUGGUUACCAGUUCGAUGUUUGAAAAAUCUUAAAAAUCCUGUCAUUUUCUAAUUUCCCAGCGUGCAAUCUUGAGUGGACGUUGGUCCAUUGAUUAGAGGUUCCGGUGACACUCGGACUUCUCUUAUCUUCGCCAUUUUUCAUCGUGUACUCACUAUCGAAAUACUCAAGCGAGCGAAAAAAUUAUUUACUGCAUGCGAAAAAUGACUUCCAUUGCUAUUCCUUAAAUUUGUUAAACAUGAUUAAUCUGUCACCGUGAUGCAUCGAGGAUUAGUGAUUUAACGACUCUGGAAGGAAAAAAAACAAGAAUGAAACAAGAAAUACGUAUUGAAUUGCGAAUAAGAAUUUCGCAAUUGAUGGAUGCCAAGGAGUCAUCAAUCACGGUGCCGAUAUUCGCAAGUUUCAGAAAUUUUGUGGAUUUGGGUCGCGUCACGCUAGACAAAAUAAAAUUACGUAAUUCCAUCAGAGACGCUGUCUGCCUAUUUUGACCUUUCCGAGUAAUAGAUAUAGGCUUCGAGAAUCCAAAUAUAAUGAAGACAUAUAAGGAAGAAAACAGUCAUAGUAUAAUUAUCUUGUUGAUAUCUGUAGUAUACAUGAAAAUCAAAGAAUUAAUCAUUGUUUUGCUACCAAUUCGCUUUUUUUUUAAUAUCUUAUCUUUUUUUUAAUAGCUGUUUGUGCAUUAAUCCGUUGAUCAUCUAUUAUCAGAAAUUUGUUAAAAAACAUUAUCAGAGACAAAGAAUAAGGAUUAUUCAUAUGAUGGAUUAAGUUUUUUGUUCUUUUUUUUUUUGAAAUAAAAGAAAUGAUAAGAUGCGAAACAAGUAAAAUUGGUUUGAAAAUGGAAAGAAGAAAAAUUUUGCGAUAUUUCGACGAAAUAUUUUGACUGAAUAUUGCUGUUGGAUAAAAAAUUUGAAAGAAGAGAUAAUGAAAACAAAUGGAAAAUGAUGAUUUAUGUGAUUCGCACAGAUUCAAUCGCAUGCAAUGAAGAAUUAAAUAUCUACAAUUGACUCGUAGAACGAAUUAUCGAAACGAAAUAGAUAUACGUUCGUAUAUUUAUGUUUCGUAUGAUAUAAUUGAUAUAAUUAAUAUGAUAUAAUUUCCUAAAUAAUAAUUAUAAAAUGGGAUGUCAAAGUCUCGUGUGCAUAAAACGUGAUUUUUAAAUAAAUAUUUUUCCACUUAUGAUAAAUAAAAAUAUAAAUUUAUA
Apis mellifera (honey bee) is the source of this 1817-nucleotide long non-coding RNA. RefSeq lists it as uncharacterized. The transcript has 5 exons. The record is from RefSeq and is a predicted model, not a curated record. Lineage: Eukaryota; Metazoa; Arthropoda; Insecta; Hymenoptera; Apidae.